UGUUGCUUCGUCAAUGCAAACGCUACUGCUGAAAUGAUACGGAGAAGAGAAACAUGGCCUCAGCGCAAGGAUGACACGCAAAUUCGUGAUGCGUUCCUUAAUCAU
This is a non-coding RNA of Octopus bimaculoides (California two-spot octopus), 105 nucleotides long. The record is from Rfam. NCBI's taxonomy places the organism in Eukaryota, Metazoa, Mollusca, Cephalopoda, Octopoda, Octopodidae.